Molecule: long non-coding RNA, 1426 nt
Organism: Gallus gallus (chicken)
Lineage: Eukaryota; Metazoa; Chordata; Aves; Galliformes; Phasianidae
Source: Ensembl
GUAAGGUUUCAAACUUUUGUUGUGGAAGCACUUUGAAAAUGCUUUCCCUUUUUUUUUUUAUUAUCAGAUACCUUUUGUUUGCCUUUGGCUCAGGACAACCUGUGGUGGAACGGAGUAUUUUAUCUGGUUAACAUCCAAUUCUGCUAUCACGCUGAAAAAAGCUUCAGUCAGUUCAGAGAUAAAUGAACAAAUGAUUCCCUCUGCUAUGCUCUGUGCACUGAAAUACAGAGGAAUUUGUGUAGCAUUGAUGCUUCUGGAGCACACGUUUUAUGCUUGGUAGACUUGAGCAUUAGAAAUAGAGAAUAGAUGAGCUUAUCAGCCCAUCUCUCCUUUCCUUAAUCAUGGUUGUUCUAGCACUGAACUAGAAAGGUAAAGGAAUGUUGAGCUGGCAGUCAGGGCACCUAAACCACAACCUGCAGUGUGCACAGGCCUCCUGCCAACAACGGGAAUCUCCAGGAGGCGGCUGGAGAAGGCUUGAAAUGAGAUAAGGCAGCAGAGAACCUGCUUUCCUGAUAGCAUAAGACAGAAAAAGGGUCAAGAACCCACACAUAGCUCUGAAGAAUUAAAGAGAAAGGAAGCUGAUAAGAACAGAGGAGCAGAAAAGCUGGACUGCUCUGUGGUCGCUGCCUUGGCUGGGAUUAGCAGCAAGCAUUUCUCUCCCCCACCUUUCCCUGCACCUGAAGGGCUGAGGCAGAAAGCAAAGGGGUUUAACCCAGCAGAGUGCAGAGGCAGUGCAGGAAUGCAGGUUCCUCCGGAUCCCCUUCCCAGCAUUUUCUGUAACGUUAGGGUUAAAGCUUAUUGCAACCACACCAGGUCAAAUACAAGAAGGACUCAACUUGCUGCACCCCGAGGGCUGCGGAGGCGUUUUACAAUGAGAGGCUGUUUGUUAGUGGGGAGGGGGGCUGCAAGAAAAGCACAGAGUAUCUUCUACAUAAACGUUCUCCCUUUCCUGAUCGGAGGGGCCUCGCUCCUGAGGAAGAAAGAACCUCAGAAGAAGGAAUUGAGGAGCACUGAUUCAAUAUACAGCGCUGAUCAAUGCACCCCGUGCUACUAGAAACCAAGAGCAAUGCCGUUGAAAGAGCUUUUACUUCGAAUGCUGUAAACCCCUGAUUUUUCAAGUGCUGAAUAAGAAUCAGCUCCCCUGUCUGACUUGGUCUGCCAGCGUACCCUGGGGAAAACAAAAGGGUACAGAGGAGCUGUGCGGGGUCUGUCGCUGCUCACCUCUUUCAAGGCCGCGCAGUGUGUUGGCAGAACUCCGAAUGCGUUCUGGCAAUCACGGUCCUAUAGCUUGGAUAAGUCUCCUAUUGCUGUUUAAAAGCUUGCAUUUCUUUGGUUAAGAAUAAAGACCGAUCCUUGCCUUGCAUUAAGUGACAGCUUCGCUUUAACGGUGCGGUUGCAGCUUUUCUAAAAAAGUGUGAAAAUGGAG